This is a long non-coding RNA of Amphiprion ocellaris (clown anemonefish), 416 nucleotides long. The record is from Ensembl. Lineage: Eukaryota; Metazoa; Chordata; Actinopteri; Pomacentridae.
AAUAACCCAGGAGACGGACAAAAUAUCGAAGGCCAUGGUGAAGGACCUUGACAGGAUGUUUGGCUCUACAGAAAAGCUGCUGGAGGCAGCGACGACUGCAAAAGAUGAAUCUUUUAAGGACACUGUGUGGAUGGCUUUGCAGGUUAAUUUAGAAGCCAUCCCUCGACCAGACAAUUUGAAAUCCAGAGACACCAGGUUCUUCUCAGCGGUGGGAAGAGGCUUCAGCGAAAACUUUCGCCGUUUGAAGAAGAGUUGGGCAGGUUCUAAUACCGUAGCGAUUAUAUUAGUAAUCCUUUUUUGUGUAUCAGUAUUUCCUCUGUGAGAAAAUCACAGUAGAGAUAAGUCCUUUAUUUUUCCCCAAGCCAGGGGAAAUUCACAUUGUUGUGGAAACGCAAUUCAAGAGAAGAAUUACAAAG